AUGUCCGACUGCCCCUACUCCCCUGACGAGUGCAUGAUGCAGCUCCUAGGCGAGGGUACACGAACUCCACUUCUUCCACCAGCCACCCUCCCCUAUGCGCCCAGCUCGUGGAACACCUCCACACCAUCUUCGGAGCCGCCUGCCGGUGGUCGUGCUGAAGGUGUCCCUGCACUGCAAAGUGUGCGCUGGCAAGGUGAAGAAGAACCUACCAAGAUGGAAGCGCACGGAUGCAAUAGUGGCAAGAAGAUCAUGGUCGUGUGCGUCAUCAAGCACACCAUGGCAAGCAUCCACCUCCUCACAGUGGCAAGAAGAGUAGGUGCCUAG
RNAcentral lists this ribosomal RNA (324 nucleotides) under Triticum aestivum (bread wheat). Its description in RNAcentral is "partial small subunit ribosomal RNA". Lineage: Eukaryota; Viridiplantae; Streptophyta; Magnoliopsida; Poales; Poaceae. The record is from RNAcentral.